AUUCCAUUGUGUAUAUAUACCACAUUUUUUUUUGAUCCAUUCAUCUACUGAGGGGCAACUAGGUUGGUUCCAUAUCUUAGUUAUAGUAAAUAAUGCUGCAAUGAACAUAGUUGUGAUGGUAAGUUUAGUGUAGCCUUGUUUCUGAUUUCUUGGGAAAAGGCCCAA
Perognathus longimembris pacificus (Pacific pocket mouse) is the source of this 165-nucleotide long non-coding RNA. RefSeq lists it as uncharacterized. The record is from RefSeq and is a predicted model, not a curated record. The transcript is spliced from 3 exons. Lineage: Eukaryota; Metazoa; Chordata; Mammalia; Rodentia; Heteromyidae.